UACGUAGGGGACGAGCGUUGUCCGGAAUUAUUGGGCGUAAAGAGCGUGUAGGCGGCUACUCAAGUCCUGCGUGAAAUCUCGAGGCUCAACCUCGAGCGGUCGUGGGAAACUGGGUGGCUAGAGUGCGGGAGAGGAGAGUGGAAUUCCCAGUGUAGCGGUGAAAUGCGCAGAUAUCAGGAGGAACACCGGUGGCGAAGGCGGGUCUCUGGGCCGUAACUGACGCUGAGGAGCGAAAGCAUGGGGAGCGAACAGG
This 253-nucleotide ribosomal RNA is filed under the name uncultured bacterium. Its description in RNAcentral is "partial 16S ribosomal RNA". It matches the Rfam family "Bacterial small subunit ribosomal RNA", at positions 524 to 776 of the family's 1533-position model. The record is from RNAcentral.